This 283-nucleotide ribosomal RNA is filed under the name uncultured bacterium. Its description in RNAcentral is "partial 16S ribosomal RNA". It matches the Rfam family "Bacterial small subunit ribosomal RNA", at positions 796 to 1077 of the family's 1533-position model. The record is from RNAcentral.
CACGCCCUAAACGAUGUCAACUGGUUGUCGGGGAAGCAAUUCCUUGGUAACGAAGCUAACGCGUGAAGUUGACCGCCUGGGGAGUACGGCCGCAAGGUUAAAACUCAAAGGAAUUGACGGGGACCCGCACAAGCGGUGGAUUAUGUGGAUUAAUUCGAUGCAACGCGAAAAACCUUACCUACCCUUGACAUGUACGGAAUCCCCCAGAGAUGGGGGAGUGCCCGAAAGGGAGCCGUAACACAGGUGCUGCAUGGCUGUCGUCAGCUCGUGUCGUGAGAUGUUG